Long non-coding RNA from Octopus sinensis (East Asian common octopus), 812 nucleotides. RefSeq lists it as uncharacterized. Lineage: Eukaryota; Metazoa; Mollusca; Cephalopoda; Octopoda; Octopodidae. The transcript is spliced from 3 exons. The record is from RefSeq and is a predicted model, not a curated record.
ACAAACUGAGCUGUGAACCAUCAAGAUACUGCUCCAACAUAUCAGUAAAAUUUUAACCAGUACGAGAGGGCCAAGGCUUGUUUCAGCGCUCAUAAAACUUCAUCCGUUACCAUGUCAACAGCUUAGAACAUUUAUCACCCCUAACCCAUCUCUAAAACUUCAAUACACUUACUCUUGGCGAAAGUCAUCUUUUUUGCUACAACCGAUCAUGUCGCAUCCACACGUUCGCGCCUAUGUGAAGAGAGUAGCUUCCAUCGACCAAGAAGCUUUCCCAGAUUGGAACCUUUCGCUGUAUCAAGAGACUACAACGUAUAAAACCCCUUAAAAGCAGAGGCAAAAUAAAAGGGAGAUGCGCAAUUUUUUUUAAUAUAAGAGAAAAAAAAAGCUCAUAGAACAGUCACCAAGUUUGGCACAAUUUGGAUGGCUUACACCUUAAUUUUAAACCAUGUGCAGGACUAAACACAGUAAAAGUGAGAUUCAGAAUAUUCCAAGAACGUGAAUGUUAUUAUCAGCAGCGUCAUUAUCAGCAUAACCAUCAUCAUUUGCAUCCCCAUCAUAGUCAUCAUCAUCGUCGCCAUCAUCAUCCUCAUCAUCAUCAUCGCCAUCCUUGCAGCCAUUAUUUUCGGAUAUGUCCACGCCAUGAUUGUCUUCGUCGUUCCAUCUUCUUCAUCACCAACUUCAUCAUCAUCAUCAUCGUCAUCAUCACCAUCACCAUCAUCAUCAUCACUAUCAGCUACAGUGACAUCUUCGUCAUCGUCCUCAUCGUCGUCAUCAUUAUGAACAAGCACUCGAUUAUGCUUCCACCUCUGCAA